Long non-coding RNA from Platichthys flesus (European flounder), 1139 nucleotides. RefSeq lists it as uncharacterized. Lineage: Eukaryota; Metazoa; Chordata; Actinopteri; Pleuronectiformes; Pleuronectidae. The transcript has 3 exons. The record is from RefSeq and is a predicted model, not a curated record.
AUUGGAUCAGAUAGAUAGGGGGGGUGGGGGGGGGGAGUGAUGCCGCUGCCUUCCCUCCUCGAAAUGGUCGGCUUGGAGAUUGAACCAACGCAGCAGCCACUUCCGGAAUAGAGAGAGAGAGGAAGAGGAGGAGGAGGAAGAGGAAUGGGAGGAGGAGGAGAAGAAAACAAACCCCGAACUGUCACCCGGUAAACAAGCGGCUGUUCCUCCGCCGCUCAUCCACCCGUCGCCCCCCCGGGAUCCAGCUGCUGAUCCAGCUGCGGCUGCACGAGGAGCUCCGCGGGUUCGAUACCGCGCGCUGCCGCUGUCCGUGGUGCUGAUCCCCGCUGCUGACGUGAGGGCUGCGGCCACAUGCACGAGGUUGAAGCUCAACACAAAACAGAAACUUCACCGAAGCUCCGUCGGGUGUGCGGCUGUAAGCGAUGCUGCAGAGGAGGAGAGCGUCCCGGAGCCGUUUAUCAGGAGGGGGAGACAAGCUGGAGUUUCCUCCGACAUGUGGAUCGGGGUCGCUGAGGACGAGCCCUGGUGGUUUGAAUGGGUCUGUACGUGGAUGUGGAUUCUUCCUGCAGCUGAGUGAGGACAAACAGGAAGUCAGAUCCUUCCCAUCGUCCUGCAGGGAAGACACACGGGUCAAUACGGUCCAUCAAUAAUGAAACAGAGCACAGACGCAUGUUGUUGCUCCUCCGAGGGAGAGAGGGCAGCGCAGGUGAAGCAGGAGGUCGUUCUGAGGAUUCACGUCUUAAAGGGGAAAUUCAUGUUAAUAAUAUAAUUUAAAUCAUGUAGAGGUUUAAUAUCACAGCCUCAGCGUGAGGAAACAUGAACCCAUGAUCUUUUUUCAUCAUUAAUUAUUAUCAGUGGAGGCAAGUAAACAAAUCAAUGUUCAUUAGGUUUUACAUGUUAAUAUUUAUAAAUGUUAUGUGUAUAUUUAAGUACAAAGUACAGAAGUUAUUCCAGCAAACUACCUCAAGUAUCCAAAGUACUACAAGAUGGACUGUGUCAUUGUUAGAAUAAAUAUAUAUAAUAUCAUAAUUUGUGCAGCUUCAGCUAAAUUCACAGAUUUGAUUACAAACUGAUUUAUGAAGUUGAAACUAGUAACUUGAGACAAUAUCCCCUGAAAUGUAAAGUAGUACAAGUAUUAA